GGGACACCCACAAUUGAAAUGGUAAGGCAGCAAGGAUCCUCUUUCAGAAGCUGUGCAGUAAUUGCAUCUACAUCGUCAUUGAAGCUAAAUAUGUCAAGUUGUUCAGCAGCACAAGGAAGUUCUCUUCUCCUCCUGUUUAACCUCCGAAAAAUUUCACCCGGUGGCACAAAAUUUGGCACUGGACUUGGAAUGGCUUCAUAUCUUCUACCAUAAAUAUCACGGAUCUUAUUUUCAAUCCACGCCAGCUGCUGCGCAAUCUUACGUUUGGAAAUGAAACUGCGGGAUGACCAAACUAAUUUUCUGAAAGCUCCUUUCCCAUUCUUCAUCUGUUGCUGUUGGGAAUCCAUGAAAAGGCCAACAACAUUCUCGGCCGAGCGGCAAACAUCGCCAAGUUCCUCCAUCCACGCCAUUCCUACUUCACUUAAUUGUUUUGAUUGUUCAAUAUCUUUUAGAAAAUCAUCCAAAGACCUGAAUUCGUCUCUUAACCUCCUGG
RNAcentral lists this unclassified non-coding RNA (493 nucleotides) under Hevea brasiliensis (rubber tree). The record is from RNAcentral. Lineage: Eukaryota; Viridiplantae; Streptophyta; Magnoliopsida; Malpighiales; Euphorbiaceae.